AAAGGCGCUGCGUCCUGGCGGCUCUGCGGGGGUUUCGUCGAGGCCCAGCAGGCUUGGGUCGGGAGACCCGGGUGCCGGCGGGGGCCGGGCUGGGAGACGCCACGGCCGCCAUCAGUCACCGAGGUGGGGUGGGAAAGAGAGGUUCGCUGCGGCUUCAAGGUCUGAGCACAGCCAGUGGGCAGCCACAGCAGAGGCCUCCGGUGUCUGCAGGGCAGAGGGCUCGGCCUGUCCCGAGGCCCCCCAGUUCAUCCGCCGGCCCGGGGCCAGAGGGCCCUGAAGGCGCGGGCUGCGUUCUGCGUCUCUCCGCGAUCUCUGCCGGACCGGAACUAAGACCAGACCAUUUUCUUCUGGAAAAAUCAGAAAUUUGUAUUGAUGAAAAAAAAAAGUUGUUCUUGGCCAAAAACAUCAAUCAGCCUCAUCUCCAGAGUGAUCCUCCAAACUCAGGGAGAAUUGCAGUGAAUGACAGUUCCUAUUUCUCAACAUCAUUGUCAGCAUUUGAUGCCGUCAGUGUCCUAGAUUUUGACCAUUAUAAUAGUCAUCCUCCUUAGCCACCUCUGAUGAGUGCAUUGAAGAGGAUGACCUGCUUGGUUAUUCUGCUUCCCGAAUACAAAAAAUUAGGCUUCUGAAAUCAAACAUAAGAAGUCAUUGUUGCUUUUAUUCCAGAGACUGGGUCUCGCUGUGUUUCCCAGGCAGGUCUCUAACUACUGGGCUCAAAUAUCUGUCUGCUGCAGCCUCCCAAAGUGAUGGGAUUAGAGGCAUUAGCCACCCCACCCAGCCUCAACCAAGGAGUCUCGCUCAGUCGCCUCGGCUGGAGUGCAGUGGCACCAGCUCGGCUCACUGCAACCUCCGCCUGCUGGAUUCAAGUGAUUCUCUUACCUCAGCUUCCCGAGUGGCUGGGAUUACAGGCACCUGCCACAACGCCCGGCUAAUUUUUUUGUAUUUUAAAUAGAGACAGGAUUUCACCAUGUUGGGCAGGCUGGUCUUGAACCCCUUACCUCAAAUGAUUCACUUGCCUCGGCCUCCCAAAGUGCUGCAAUUACAGGCAUGAGCCCCCUCGCCCGGCCAAGAUGAACUAAUUUAAACAAAUAUUUAUAUUGAUCAUCAUAGUACAUCCAUCUUUGUUGGAUGUAUUAAUACCACAGUAUAAAUUGAUAAUAUUAAAUAUUACCAAUUCUAUCAGACUAUCAGAUGUUCAGACAUCUGAAGUCCUUGUUGGUAUCACUUGCCCAUUUUUAAUGAUAUUUGCUCACAAUAUAUGUUGAUUUCUUUUCUAUUUCAGCAGCUGUUUGUGCUAAUGUGUCAGGUUAAGAU
Molecule: long non-coding RNA, 1311 nt
Filed under: Homo sapiens (human)
Lineage: Eukaryota; Metazoa; Chordata; Mammalia; Primates; Hominidae
Description: PREDICTED lncRNA (TCONS_00210551)
Source: RNAcentral